RNAcentral lists this ribosomal RNA (200 nucleotides) under uncultured organism. RNAcentral describes it as "partial small subunit ribosomal RNA". It matches the Rfam family "Bacterial small subunit ribosomal RNA", at positions 1185 to 1382 of the family's 1533-position model. The record is from RNAcentral.
UCAAGUCAUCAUGCCCCUUAUGUCCAGGGCUUCACACAUGCUACAAUGGCCGGUACAAAGGGCUGCGAAGCCGUGAGGUGGAGCGAAUCCCUGCAAAGCCGGUCGUAGUCCGGAUCGGAGUCUGCAACUCGACUCCGUGAAGUCGGAAUCGCUAGUAAUCGCGAAUCAGCAAUGUCGCGGUGAAUACGUUCCCGGGUCUU